Dreissena polymorpha is the source of this 460-nucleotide long non-coding RNA. RefSeq lists it as uncharacterized. The transcript is spliced from 4 exons. Lineage: Eukaryota; Metazoa; Mollusca; Bivalvia; Myida; Dreissenidae. The record is from RefSeq and is a predicted model, not a curated record.
GUUCAUAUCUUGUUCAUAAAGUGCGUGUUGUUAGAAUACCUCUGAUAAUUAACCAUAGCCGGAAAUUUCGCGUAUCCUGGAAAGCGGACUCGACAGUUCCUAACUUUCAUUCGCAAGGUGCGUCCCUGCUUUCCAUAACACAUCAGACUAUGAUGUUCACAUAUCACUCGUGCGUGUUGGUGAUGAUUCUUGCGCUGUGCACGGGGGUCUCGAGGGGCCAGUGUCCAGAGAAGUGUCAUUGCGAAGGACUUCGGGUAAACUGCGAAGGACAAAAACUGUCGACCAUACCUCCUCCCCUACCCAACGCUACCGUCUUGGACCUACAGAACAACACGCUCGCAACCCUAACCGACGAUUCAUUAACAGGAUGGCAGAAUCUAACGGAACUGGAUUUGUCCAAGAACAUGCUCGCAUCCCUUUCUGACGAUGCCUUUAAAGCACUUCCGAAACUACAGAUACU